UACCCAAAAUAGCAGGGCCUUUGCUGAUAA
RNAcentral lists this non-coding RNA (30 nucleotides) under Mus musculus (house mouse). Lineage: Eukaryota; Metazoa; Chordata; Mammalia; Rodentia; Muridae. The record is from RNAcentral.